UAUUUCAGGCAGUAUACUGGUAA
RNAcentral lists this microRNA (23 nucleotides) under Lytechinus variegatus (green sea urchin). RNAcentral's name for it is "lva-miR-2007-5p". The record is from miRBase by way of RNAcentral. Lineage: Eukaryota; Metazoa; Echinodermata; Echinoidea; Temnopleuroida; Toxopneustidae. RNAcentral also lists the same sequence under 1 other name.